Molecule: long non-coding RNA, 1175 nt
Organism: Syngnathus typhle (broad-nosed pipefish)
Lineage: Eukaryota; Metazoa; Chordata; Actinopteri; Syngnathiformes; Syngnathidae
Exons: 2
Source: RefSeq, a predicted model, not a curated record
GGAAGAGGAUGAAGGAGUGUGCGAGAAAACACAUCGACUAACAAUCAUCGUAAAAGUGACAGCGAGGAAAAUAUGGAAGUGAAAAGGGAAGUUUUUAUUUCAGAGUGAAAAUGGGAGGGUGGGGGAGAAUGAUCACGGAAGAGUUAAGCAAAUGGGGUUACAAAGCCAGUUGAUGGUGAAAGAAAGAAAAGAGGAUAAAGAUGGAAAACGAUCGAUUAUGGAGAAGAGGCCGAUUCACUUUCCAAUGUUCUUUUACGUUUGUUUGCAUUAUAAUACUGCCUCUCAGUGGCCAAGGCGGGGAUACCAGCAUCAUAAUACAUCUAGAAAAGUCCUUAUUAAAAGGACAAAGGCAACAUUUGACCUUUGUUUGUUGACCUUUCCGUCCAUUUAAGAUAGAAAAUUGUUUUUAAUAACAGGAACGAUUCAACCCGUACCAUUGUUUACUAAAUGAGGACGCACAGACUACAAGACCCACAAUGCACUACGCCACUUUUCUCUGACGUCAUCGCACCGGGUGGUCAACUGCGCGGCGUGUGCGCGCUUUUGGAGCAGCAAGAGUGCAACAUUGUUCCAGACGAUCACCGACAGAGGGCUGUAUAGCCUCAAGGGAACUCUGUAGGACGGAAUGUAUGCACAGGCAGUGGAAGAAGAGAGUUAGCAUGAGACUACCAGAGUGAUUAAAUAAACAACUAGCUGAAGCUAGUAUAAAGUUCAACUGAAUCCUAAAGCUAAUUUGAUCAGUGAGAAAGAUUUAAAUGCACUGACUGAGAAGCCUAAAAAAAUCCACAGAAAGAGUCACACCCCUGAAGGCUUAUAAUAAUCAGCCAAUACAGACAAAAGGUGGAUGCAGACUUAAAAUAAUGGCAAAAGGCAAACAGCAUAACCUGUUAUUCACCAUUGUGCCAAAUGGACACGAGUCUCUUUUAGGAGACAAAGCCUCUGAGGAUCUAGGUCUAGUAAAGAGGAUCUAUCAGAUUAAUACUGACAACAUUAAAGUAGUCAUGCAAGACAAAGGACAGGAACAAAAACAGUGUGAGGGAAGUGCAAACAUAGUGGAGAAGUUUUCUUCUGUCUUCAAAGGACAUGGGACUUUACCUUACACUUACAAAAUACAACUCAAAGAUGAUGCCAAGCCUGUUGUGCACGCCCCAAGGAGAGUGCCAGCACCACUCAGA